RNAcentral lists this long non-coding RNA (1041 nucleotides) under Salmo salar (Atlantic salmon). RNAcentral's name for it is "lncRNA (ENSSSAG00000082378.1)". The record is from RNAcentral. Lineage: Eukaryota; Metazoa; Chordata; Actinopteri; Salmoniformes; Salmonidae.
CCCCCUGGCCCCCAAAGCACCUCGACCACGGAGUUCAGCUCACAGUGGUGGAGAGAGAACAGACAGGGAAGUAAAACUCUAGUCUUUAUCACUAUACCAGCAUCAUCAUGACGUUUUGAUUUAGGAAUUUACAAUCUGCUCUCACAGUCUCAAAUAUCAUAAUCAUCACCAUCAUCAUCACCACCAUUAGCAUCAUAACCACCAUUAUCAUCGUCAUCACCACCAUUAUCAUCGUCAUCACCGCCAUUAUCAUCAUCACCACCAUUGUCAUCAUCACCACCAUUAUCGUCAUCACCACCAUUAUCAUCAUCGCCACCAUUAUCAUCAUCACUGUCAUCAUCCUCAUGGUUACCUGGUACCCGUUGCUGUUGCAGAGUGCUAUGGACCCCAUCCUCCAGGGUAAUCUACACAAUAGCCAGUGCCAACAUUGUACAGCUUAAAAAAUACAGGCAUAAUAUGUUACAGGAUACAUGAAAACAGUAUAUUAAUAAUAUAAAAAUACAGAUAAGGCUAUUCAAAGUGUGUGUGUGUGUGUGUUCGUGUGUGUGUGUGAGAGAGACUCCUACCUCCCCUGAGAGCGAAGGUCUGUCCUGUGGUAUAUUGAGGGUAGACGAGACUCCUACCUCCCCUGAGAGCGAAGGUCUGUCCUGUGGUAUAUAGAGGUCUGGGUAGACGAGACUCCUACCUCCCCCCGAGAGCGAAGGUCUGUCCUGUGGUAUAUAGAGGUCUGGGUAGACGAGACUCCUACCUCCCCUGAGAGCGAAGGUCUGUCCUGUGGUAUAUAGAGGUCUGGGUAGACGAGACUCCUACCUCCCCUGAGAGCGAAGGUCUGUCCUGUGGUAUAUAGAGGUCUGGGUAGACGUCAGUCAGGAACCAGUGGAAGUUUCUGCAGCCCGGUCUCUUCUUCAGUCUUACUAGCUCUCCAAUGUUAGGACUCUCAGACUACACAGAGAAGAGGACACACACAAAAUCAUUUGAGAUCAAUGACAAUCUCUCUCUCUUUCAUGCUCUCGCUUUCUCUCACGCUCACACACACACACA